This is a long non-coding RNA of Triplophysa dalaica, 1298 nucleotides long. RefSeq lists it as uncharacterized. The record is from RefSeq and is a predicted model, not a curated record. The transcript is spliced from 4 exons. NCBI's taxonomy places the organism in Eukaryota, Metazoa, Chordata, Actinopteri, Cypriniformes, Nemacheilidae.
AGAAUCACGUGACGUUUUAAAACCGAACAGAAGGGCAAUCAGCAAAAUGUGUGUGCUGGAAAGAAUAGACUACUUGAGAACUCGACGAUUUUAACAUGUCCGAACAAAGUGGAAAGGAAUUCACUCGAGAUGACAAAGACGUCAAAUUAGUAUUUACCCCAUGCGAUAUCGAUCCACUUGACGAUGACCCGAGCAUUUUGAGGGCUGUGUUAUCAUGUGGCCAUGUCGCACAUCCAGACUCACUAACGGCUUAUUGCAAAGCUCAGUUGUCAACUAAACAAACAGAAUUGAAAUGUCCUAUAUGUACAAAAGUGUGGUCAUAUAAUGAAGUCCGAAAACUUGCCAAACUCACAGAUGAAGAACAACAAUGGUUUGAGCAAACGCUUGGGAAACAUGCUUUACAGUCACUCGGUAUACAAAACUGCCCUCGCUGUGACACUUUCAUUGAAAGAAAAAACUCUUCUAAUCUCUGUGUAAAAUGCGCAAUAUGCUCAACGAAGCUAGGAAAAACCUUUCAAUUCUGCUGGCAGUGUCAAAGAGAGUGGAAGGGAUCUCAAGCUCGUGCUGAUCAAUGUGAAAAUGAAUUAUGCACCGACAACGAACUUAAUGUGCUGCAAAACUGUAAAAUAAUAGUUUUAAAAGCAGUAGAAAAUGCCGAGUGUCCUUUGAUUCGUGCCUGCCCAUUUUGUCGCACGCUACUGGAACACAAUGGGAAGUACUGCAAAACUAUGACGUGCGUCAAAUGUCAUACAAAAUUUUGCUUUCUAUGUCUAAAACUCGUAGAGGAAUGCUGUACGGGUCCUUACGAAAAGUGCACAUUAGCACCAAGACAAACGUCCAUCCUUUAACGAUGAGGCCAUCAUGGUCUACAAUUUAUAAAGACAUAAAUCGGAGGCUGCCAGAUACAGUACCCCAUCUAAAAAAGCCAAUCAAGUCAUAAUUUUGCAAUAUUUUCUAAAUUAGCAAUAUCAUCUGACAUAUCAUAUCUCAAAUGACAUCCAUUGUAUUCACAACUAGGCUGGUACUUUUUAUUUCUGCAUUCAUACAAACUAAACAAAAUAUAUUUGUUACCUUUAUAAAAACAUCACUUUUUUAUUCUGUUUAUGAUCACCAAUGGGAGGUUGCUGAAAUUUUAAAAGUGCACAAAGGGUUGUAGGUCGCAGGAAUCAGAAUUUUUUCUGAGCACAGCCAAACGCUAUUGUAAAAAUGACACAAAUUUUUUAUUUAGGCUGUUGAUGAAAUAAAGAUAUUUUACAGCCUGUUUUAGAUAGACCUAUACAAAAUUUAAAUUAACAUAU